RNAcentral lists this small RNA (794 nucleotides) under Histoplasma capsulatum var. duboisii H88. RNAcentral describes it as "Histoplasma capsulatum H88 hypothetical RNA". Lineage: Eukaryota; Fungi; Ascomycota; Eurotiomycetes; Onygenales; Ajellomycetaceae. The record is from RNAcentral.
CAACUAUAUAUCUAUAGAUGUUAAUUUUUUAAUGAUGGCUUUUUUUUGCUACAAGAACUCCACUCAAGCAGAGGAUAUACAGAUGUGAUCACAUGUACACAUUGUGGACUAUGAGCACGUGCCCCUGAAAAUCUUCAACACCAUCCAGUGCAUCCAGGCACAACAGAUGAGGACACCAGAGCAGGAUGUUGGGGUCAAGGUAGCAGAGGUGGCAAUUUUGAACAUGUCUUUAAAGAUGAUUGGGUUGUGAAAAGGAGUAAAUCCGCAUGGAGUGUGGCAGCUGACUAUCUUCAAGACAGAAGAGACACUGAAUACCUAGACAUGAGAUGGAAAAGGUGUCCAUGUCAAUGAUGCUGUCAAACAUAAUAUCAACUUCAGAGUUGGCAGAUGAGAUUCUUCAUUUGCACAGCCCCUUAUAUAGACUGCAGAGUGAAACUCAAUCCUGGCUUGUUUACACUUGACAAAUGUAAAGCUCAUACUGGUCUUUGAUUUGAUAGUCUGAUGAGUGAAAGAGAUUUCAACACCCGUUAGUAGUUAACUUACGCAACCACCUCCUCAUGUAUUCACGCGCAUGUACAAUCCCACUCCGCGCCCGUGUAGUCCUAACAAUUCCUCUGCAUAACCCUCAUGGUUCCACUCCGUGCACAUGUAGUCUCUAACAAUUCCUCCACAUAAUCUUCUAUGUUCUUCUGCUCUGCUCAUCUCUCUAUAAGAAUCUCUUCAUACAAUCUUUCCUUUUAAUCUCUUUUCUCUUUCUUUCCUUAAUCAAUUCAUAAACUGUAUUAGAAUAGUGC